GACGAACGCUGGCGGCGUGCCUAAUGCAUGCAAGUCGAACGCAGCGAGCUUGCUCGGCUGCGUGGCGCACGGCUGAGGAACACGUGGGUACCAACCCUAGAGUGGGGGAUACGCCAGCGAAAGCUGGGACAAUCCCGCAUACGUUCGCAAGAAGAAAGCCUUCGGGCGCUCCGGGACGGGCCUGCGGCCCAUCAGGUAGUUGGUGUGGUAAUGGCGCACCAAGCCGGUGACGGGUUCCUGGUCUGAGAGGACGACCAGGCAGACUGGGACUGAGACACGGCCCAGACUCCUACGGGAGGCAGCAGCAAGGAAUUUUCCCCAAUGGGCGCAAGCCUGAGGGAGCAACGCCGCGUGCAGGACGAC
This 363-nucleotide ribosomal RNA is filed under the name uncultured Chloroflexaceae bacterium. RNAcentral describes it as "bacterial SSU rRNA". It matches the Rfam family "Bacterial small subunit ribosomal RNA", at positions 28 to 412 of the family's 1533-position model. The record is from RNAcentral. Lineage: Bacteria; Bacillati; Chloroflexota; Chloroflexia; Chloroflexales; Chloroflexaceae.